UCUAGAGCUAAUACACGCAUAACCGCCCAAUUUCUCGGAAGGGCUAUGUUUAUUAGUUACAGAACCAACGCAGGCUCUGCCUGAUGCUUUGGUGAGUGAUAGUAAAACAAUGAAUUGCACAGCAUUAGCUGGCGAUGAAUCAUUCAAGUUUCUGACCUAUCAGCUUUCGACGGUAGGAUAUAGGCUUACCGUGGCGAUGACGGGUAAUUCCAGCUCCAAUAGCGUAUAUUAAAGUUGUUGCGGUUAAAAAGCUCGUAGUUGGAUUUCUGCCGGGGACGACCGGUCCGCCUUUCGGGUGAGCAUCUGGUUCGGCCUUGGCAUAUUUUUGGCAAACGCUUCUGCACUUGACUGUGCGGUGCGGUGGUCAAGAGCUUUACUUUGAGGAAAUUAGAGUGUUCUAAGCAGGCAUCUGCCUUGAAUACAUUAGCAUGGAAUAAUGAUAUAGGACUUCGGUUCUAUUUUGUUGGUUUCUAGA
This 475-nucleotide ribosomal RNA is filed under the name Peridinium foliaceum. RNAcentral's name for it is "bacterial SSU rRNA". It matches the Rfam family "Eukaryotic small subunit ribosomal RNA", at positions 157 to 855 of the family's 1831-position model. Lineage: Eukaryota; Dinophyceae; Peridiniales; Peridiniaceae. The record is from RNAcentral.